CAGCAGCCGCGGUAAUACGAAGGGUGCAAGCGUUACUCAAAAUUACUGGGCGUAAAGCGUGCGUAGGUGGUGGUUUAAGUCCGUUGUGAAAGCCCUGGGCUCAACCUGGGAAUUGCAGUGGAUACUGGAUCACUAAAGUGUGGUAGAGGAUAGUGGAAUUUCCGGUGUAGCAGUGAAAUGCGUAGAGAUCGGAAGGAACAUCUGUGGCGAAGGCGACUAUCUGGGCCAACACUGACACUGAGGCACGAAAGCGUGGGGAGCAAACAGGAUUAGAUACCCGCGUAGUCCCUGUCUCUUAUAC
This 301-nucleotide ribosomal RNA is filed under the name uncultured bacterium. Its description in RNAcentral is "partial 16S ribosomal RNA". It matches the Rfam family "Bacterial small subunit ribosomal RNA", at positions 509 to 807 of the family's 1533-position model. The record is from RNAcentral.